Molecule: transfer RNA, 69 nt
Filed under: Marmota marmota marmota (Alpine marmot)
Lineage: Eukaryota; Metazoa; Chordata; Mammalia; Rodentia; Sciuridae
Also listed under: 2 other names
Rfam family: tRNA
About the family: Transfer RNA (tRNA) molecules are approximately 80 nucleotides in length. Their secondary structure includes four short double-helical elements and three loops (D, anti-codon, and T loops). Further hydrogen bonds mediate the characteristic L-shaped molecular structure. tRNAs have two regions of fundamental functional importance: the anti-codon, which is responsible for specific mRNA codon recognition, and the 3' end, to which the tRNAs corresponding amino acid is attached (by aminoacyl-tRNA synthetases). tRNAs cope with the degeneracy of the genetic code in two manners: having more than one tRNA (with a specific anti-codon) for a particular amino acid; and 'wobble' base-pairing, i.e. permitting non-standard base-pairing at the 3rd anti-codon position.
Source: Rfam by way of RNAcentral
GGGGUUGUUCCUCAGUGGUAGAGGACUUGCCUGGCACGUAUGAGGCCCUGGGUUCCAUCCUCAGCACCA